RNAcentral lists this transfer RNA (48 nucleotides) under Photobacterium ganghwense. It matches the Rfam family "tRNA", at positions 1 to 46 of the family's 71-position model. From Rfam's summary of the family: Transfer RNA (tRNA) molecules are approximately 80 nucleotides in length. Their secondary structure includes four short double-helical elements and three loops (D, anti-codon, and T loops). Further hydrogen bonds mediate the characteristic L-shaped molecular structure. tRNAs have two regions of fundamental functional importance: the anti-codon, which is responsible for specific mRNA codon recognition, and the 3' end, to which the tRNAs corresponding amino acid is attached (by aminoacyl-tRNA synthetases). tRNAs cope with the degeneracy of the genetic code in two manners: having more than one tRNA (with a specific anti-codon) for a particular amino acid; and 'wobble' base-pairing, i.e. permitting non-standard base-pairing at the 3rd anti-codon position. The record is from Rfam by way of RNAcentral. Lineage: Bacteria; Pseudomonadati; Pseudomonadota; Gammaproteobacteria; Vibrionales; Vibrionaceae.
GGAGCGGUAGUUCAGUUGGUUAGAAUACCGGCCUGUCACGCCGGGGGU